UGGGGAAUAUUGCACAAUGGGCGCAAGCCUGAUGCAGCCAUGCCGCGUGUGUGAAGAAGGCCUUCGGGUUGUAAAGCACUUUCAGCGGGGAGGAAGGCGUUAAGGUUAAUAACCUUGGCGAUUGACGUUACCCGCAGAAGAAGCACCGGCUAACUCCGUGCCAGCAGCCGCGGUAAUACGGAGGGUGCAAGCGUUAAUCGGAAUUACUGGGCGUAAAGCGCACGCAGGCGGUCUGUCAAGUCGGAUGUGAAAUCCCCGGGCUCAACCUGGGAACUGCAUUCGAAACUGGCAGGCUUGAGUCUCGUAGAGGGGGGUAGAAUUCCAGGUGUAGCGGUGAAAUGCGUAGAGAUCUGGAGGAAUACCGGUGGCGAAGGCGGCCCCCUGGACGAAGACUGACGCUCAGGUGCGAAAGCGUGGGGAGCAAACAGG
Molecule: ribosomal RNA, 429 nt
Filed under: Chloroflexota bacterium
Lineage: Bacteria; Bacillati; Chloroflexota
Description: Chloroflexi bacterium partial 16S ribosomal RNA
Rfam family: Bacterial small subunit ribosomal RNA
Source: RNAcentral